This 582-nucleotide ribosomal RNA is filed under the name uncultured bacterium. RNAcentral describes it as "partial 16S ribosomal RNA". It matches the Rfam family "Bacterial small subunit ribosomal RNA", at positions 355 to 932 of the family's 1533-position model. The record is from RNAcentral.
UGGGGAAUUUUGGACAAUGGGCGAAAGCCUGAUCCAGCAAUGCCGCGUGUGUGAAGAAGGCCUUCGGGUUGUAAAGCACUUUUGUCCGGAAAGAAAUCCUUGGCUCUAAUACAGUCGGGGGAUGACGGUACCGGAAGAAUAAGCACCGGCUAACUACGUGCCAGCAGCCGCGGUAAUACGUAGGGUGCAAGCGUUAAUCGGAAUUACUGGGCGUAAAGCGUGCGCAGGCGGUUUGCUAAGACCGAUGUGAAAUCCCCGGGCUCAACCUGGGGAAACUGCAUUGGUGACUGGCAGGCUAGAGUAUGGCAGAGGGGGGUAGAAUUCCACGUGUAGCAGUGAAAUGCGUAGAGAUGUGGAGGAAUACCGAUGGCGAAGGCAGCCCCCUGGGCCAAUACUGACGCUCAUGCACGAAAGCGUGGGGAGCAAAACAGGAUUAGAUACCCUGGUAGUCCACGCCCUAAACGAUGUCAACUAGUUGUUGGGGAUUCAUUUCCUUAGUAACGUAGCUAACGCGUGAAGUUGACCGCCUGGGGAGUACGGUCGCAAGAUUAAAACUCAAAUGAAUUGACGGGGUCAUAGCUG